Molecule: unclassified non-coding RNA, 233 nt
Filed under: Hevea brasiliensis (rubber tree)
Lineage: Eukaryota; Viridiplantae; Streptophyta; Magnoliopsida; Malpighiales; Euphorbiaceae
Source: RNAcentral
UUCCAAUGCCCUCGCGAAUGCCGUGGCGUUUCGCCUACGGAAUAAUGAUCUCAUGGAGGCGUGUGGCUAAAUAGCGGCGCGCGCAAGUGCUUGCUGGGGCCACGGUUAAAUGUUCACGAAGUGNNNNNCUGCGCGGCAACUCCAACGACCAGCGCCUGACAGGUGUUAGACCUCUCCGCCGCUCAGGACUUACUUCGGGACGGGUGUCCCGGUGCUUACCGCGCUUGGAAGCC